This 124-nucleotide small RNA is filed under the name Saccharothrix sp. ST-888. RNAcentral describes it as "Streptomyces-metH RNA". It matches the Rfam family "Streptomyces-metH RNA". Lineage: Bacteria; Bacillati; Actinomycetota; Actinomycetes; Pseudonocardiales; Pseudonocardiaceae. The record is from Rfam by way of RNAcentral.
ACGCUCACGAUGCGGAAUGGGUUCUCCAGCCGGGCACCUCUCCGGAUACGCUGACGGCGUGCAUCCCCAUACACCGGAGGGGACGCAUAGCCGACAGCCGUCGCACCCAGGGAGCAGCCCCAUG